UAUAUAUCAAUAUACCUACAAGUGUAUGCAUAUGUAUAUAUCAACGCAUGCGCGCACACUCUUGACAUUCUGUUUUUUGCAUCCAGCAUUUUCUUCUCAAGUCAAUCGAGUCUUUAAACUCUCUUUUUUGUGAAGUGUGUACCGUUCUGUGUAUAUAUAUGCAUUUAUCUGCUUAUAUUUAUGAUUUAAUCGGUUUAACAAGCUGUGAAUUGCUUGAGGAAUGUAAUUUGUUAGAUCACAUACUUUUC
Molecule: long non-coding RNA, 248 nt
Filed under: Olea europaea (common olive)
Lineage: Eukaryota; Viridiplantae; Streptophyta; Magnoliopsida; Lamiales; Oleaceae
Description: long non-coding RNA (OEUR_LNC005482)
Source: RNAcentral